Molecule: ribosomal RNA, 31 nt
Filed under: Trichomonas tenax
Lineage: Eukaryota; Parabasalia; Trichomonadida; Trichomonadidae
Description: partial 18S small subunit ribosomal RNA
Source: RNAcentral
UUUCGGUAGGUGGACCUGCCGUUGGAUCAGU